GUCUACGGCCACGCCACCCUGAACGAGCCCGAUCCCGUCUGAUCUCGGAAGCUAAGCAGGGUCGGGCCUGGGGAGUACUUGGAUGGGAGACCACCUAGGAAGACCUGGUGCUGUAGGUG
Molecule: ribosomal RNA, 119 nt
Filed under: Pteropus alecto (black flying fox)
Lineage: Eukaryota; Metazoa; Chordata; Mammalia; Chiroptera; Pteropodidae
Source: RNAcentral